AUAGGGUACGGGUGUAUGAAGCAUUAAUUACAAGGUCAAAUUGUAAGGCGGAGUAUCCUUUUCUUAAUUUCAUUUGAGGAGGAUCAUAUGCUAGCUAGCUACUAUAUAUAGAUUAGGGUUGUGUGAGGAAAUAGUAAGAAGUGCAACAAAAGCAUUAGUUCAUCAAAAAAAAAAAUAUUAAGUUUCGAGUUUAAGCAAGAAGUUCAAACAAUGGUGAGGGUAUCAGCUAACUUAUUGAUGGUUGCUCCCAUUGUUUUAGCAAUGUUGUUCCUGCUCAGUACUACAACAGCUACGGUGGUUGAAAAGAUGGAAACAACUUCUGAAGAAAGGCCUUUGAUGGUAGUCGAAUAAGUAAUGAUCAUGGUUGAACAACCAAAAAUUGAUGAUAAUUAUGGAAACCGAAAAACAAAGAUGAUGUUUAUGGAACCAAACAAUGGUGGAUUAGAUGCACAAAUUAUUAAGGAAGUCACAAGUAAUACCGUGGAGGCUAUAAAAACAUGCGGAUUAAAAGGCGAGACGUGUGGUUGGCUUUGGAAGUGUUGUACCGGCCUCACUUGUGUUUCAAAAGUGCAUUUUAACCUUUGUGAGUAAACACUAAUUAAGGUGCCUCAGCUUGCACACUGUACUGGAUUGACGAUCUUAUUUCUUGUUCUUGUUUUUAAAGGCCGGUCUUGUAUGGACCCGGUCUACAAUGCAUUAUGUCAUUUGCUUACUUUCAAAGCCUUUAAGGUAUACUAUGUAAUACUUAUGCUUGUGUGUUUGGAUGUUCAUCAUCAUGAAUAAAUAUUCCUAUUCCUAUAUA
Molecule: long non-coding RNA, 802 nt
Organism: Chenopodium quinoa (quinoa)
Lineage: Eukaryota; Viridiplantae; Streptophyta; Magnoliopsida; Caryophyllales; Amaranthaceae
Exons: 2
Source: RefSeq, a predicted model, not a curated record